AUCCUCCUUCUCCCGACCUCGAGGUGCGUCGCCGCCGCCAGAAAGAGUAUCUCCGGCAGUUUCCCUCCUGGAUCCCCCUCCGCCACGAGGAGCCAUAGUAUGCCUGUCGCUACUUUCUGCCUUGCCCCACGAUCCUCGCCUCACAGCGGCUUCUUCAUCCCACCACAUGCGCUUCGGUCAUCGAUGUCUUUGGCUCUGAACAAAACGUCUGAACUGCUCUUGAUGACUCUUGCCGCAGACUCCCCGUGCCAUGGCGCUCCUAUUCUAGUUAUAGGCUCUACCUGGACAUGAUUGCCCUCCAUACCGUCACCUCCCUAUUUUGUAGUUUCAUAUGUCAAGAAUCAGACUUUUGGCCCUGCAGCAUGUUGUGAUGCAUCAAUGGCUAAGAAUCAAAUAUAAAUUAAUGUAGUUCAGAUAUUUCUCAUCAUCAGGUCUUUAUAGUUUAUUUAGUUGAUUUUAUGCUAUUUUAUGAAGCUUUACAUUUUCUCAUAGUCACUGUUUAUUCAUAGUAUACUGUAGAGUCUUAUAUAUAAGUUCUGCUCUUACCCUCUUUGGUCACCUGAUUGUAGUUGCAGUGAGUUCACUAUAACAAUUUUGAUUCUUCCACUAGUGAUUUCUCUUGAAUCGCUACAUCUUUGACAUAGCUGGGGAGCUAUAGACUACAGCGCUGGUGCAGUAUGUUCACUUGUGGUACGUUGUCCAUUCAGUGCAGCUGAAUCCCAACGCUGACUAUGAGAGGCAGCUGAAUCCCAACGCUGACUAUGAGACUAUCUGGAAGUGCAGAUCGGGAUGCUACACUACUGCUUCAACAAAUUGUAUGCUCGUUUCCAAAGGCUUGAAUCUAAUAUAUCUCGAGUUCUCAAUCUACAUGCAUUUGUUCAUCAUCUCUUCCUGCUUAUAUAUACACGGGGAAAGGAGGAAUGGAGAGCUAUAAUGUUGUUUUGCUAACAUAUUUACAUGCAUUUUAGUGUAAAUUUAAUAGUUGUAGUAGUCGACCAGGCAAAUAACAAAUUAUUGGUAUGACCCAAUUCAGUUACUCUUUACAGAAAUUGUUUUACACUUGCAUGAAAAAACAGCAUACCAUUCAGAUUAAAAUAACAUCCUUUUCAUAUGAUGCACGUUAUUGCAAAGAAAAAGACCAAUACAUAUGUAAUGGAGAUGACUUCCAUACAUCACUCUCUCACUGGACAGUCUAUUUUUUUCUUUCUGAUUUAUGUGAUAAAAAGGAGACAAACAGUUUAAAUAUGGAAGUUAAAGCUUUAUUUUAUUUUUAUCCUUGGACAAUUAUGGCUUCAUUUUGUAAUUCCUACAACUUAUUUUUUAAGUUCUCUGGAUGUUUUAUUAUAUCCAGCAUAAUUGAGUAUUCCCAUUUUGUGGAAACCAAAACUGAAGUGUCAACUUUGCACGAAUGAAAAAUAAAAUAGAUACAAUAUGUAUUAUUGUUUGGAACUUUCAAUGUACUUUAGUUAAAUUUACUUCACAUGUAGUUAGCAGUUCUGUAUUCACUUUGAUCAGAAUAGAUACUAUUUUAUUUAACUUCGUCGUCACUACACCCAUGCUCUCGCGGCCUAGGGAAAACCCUAUUUGUGUUGUUGCCAUGGCUGUUGAGGACGAUUAUGGAGGAGGUGAGGGCGAGAAGAAAUUACAAGAGGAAGGGCGAGGACCAGGUAGCAACGUGGUCCCACUGCUACUUGCAAGGGAUGUAGCUUUCUGAAGUCGGUGAAAAGAAGGGAAGUCUUUUUCUCCCUAGGAGUCAUUCUGAUUAAUGGAUGGAUGGAUUUGUCCGCUCUCUGCAUGACCACAAAUGCAGGCUUGCUAAAUCUUCUUCUUUAUAUAUGAUGAUGUUGACAAUGAGAAAUAAUCUAGUUUAAAAAUAAGCAACAUAUUCUUCUGAUGUGGAUA
Long non-coding RNA from Aegilops tauschii subsp. strangulata, 1902 nucleotides. RefSeq lists it as uncharacterized. The record is from RefSeq and is a predicted model, not a curated record. Lineage: Eukaryota; Viridiplantae; Streptophyta; Magnoliopsida; Poales; Poaceae.